Molecule: ribosomal RNA, 119 nt
Filed under: Pteropus alecto (black flying fox)
Lineage: Eukaryota; Metazoa; Chordata; Mammalia; Chiroptera; Pteropodidae
Source: RNAcentral
GUCUCCAGCCAUGCCGCCCUGAAAGUGCCCUAUCUCGUCUGAUCUUGGAAACUAAGCAGGGUCGAGCCUGGUUAGUAUUUGGAUGGGAGACCACCUAGGAAUACCAGGUGCUGUAGGAG